UCCCUGCUAGCUCAGUGGUAGAGCGCUUCACUAGUACCGAAAGCGUAUCAUGAAGAGGUCAGUCGUUCAAGUCGGCUGCGGGGAA
This 85-nucleotide transfer RNA is filed under the name Schizophyllum commune H4-8. RNAcentral's name for it is "tRNA-Thr". It matches the Rfam family "tRNA". From Rfam's summary of the family: Transfer RNA (tRNA) molecules are approximately 80 nucleotides in length. Their secondary structure includes four short double-helical elements and three loops (D, anti-codon, and T loops). The record is from RNAcentral. Lineage: Eukaryota; Fungi; Basidiomycota; Agaricomycetes; Agaricales; Schizophyllaceae.